RNAcentral lists this ribosomal RNA (511 nucleotides) under uncultured bacterium. RNAcentral's name for it is "bacterial SSU rRNA". It matches the Rfam family "Bacterial small subunit ribosomal RNA", at positions 15 to 518 of the family's 1533-position model. The record is from RNAcentral.
GAUCUUGGUUCAGGAUGAACGCUAGCUACAGGUUUAACACAUGCAAGUCGAGGGGCAGCAUUGGAGUAGCAAUACUCAGAUGGCGACCGGCGCACGGGUGAGUAACACGUAUCCAACCUGCCGCUUACUCGGGGAUAGCCUUUCGAAAGAAAGAUUAAUACCCGAUGGUAUAAAGAGUUCGCAUGUUCUCUUUAUUAAAGAAUUUCGGUAAGCGAUGGGGAUGCGUUCCAUUAGAUAGUUGGCGGGGUAACGGCCCACCAAGUCUACGAUGGAUAGGGGUUCUGAGAGGAAGGUCCCCCACAUUGGAACUGAGACACGGUCCAAACUCCUACGGGAGGCAGCAGUGAGGAAUAUUGGUCAAUGGACGAGAGUCUGAACCAGCCAAAGUAGCGUGAAGGAUGACUGCCCUAUGGGUUGUAAACUUCUUUUAUAAGGGAAUAAAGUGAGGGACGUGUCCCUUUUUGUAUGUACCUUAUGAAUAAGGAUCGGCUAACUCCGUGCCAGCCGCCGC